Molecule: small RNA, 482 nt
Filed under: Fusarium oxysporum
Lineage: Eukaryota; Fungi; Ascomycota; Sordariomycetes; Hypocreales; Nectriaceae
Description: eukaryotic LSU rRNA
Rfam family: 5.8S ribosomal RNA (bases 124-277)
Source: RNAcentral
UGUGACAUACCACUUGUUGCCUCGGCGGAUCAGCCCGCUCCCGGUAAAACGGGACGGCCCGCCAGAGGACCCCUAAACUCUGUUUCUAUAUGUAACUUCUGAGUAAAACCAUAAAUAAAUCAAAACUUUCAACAACGGAUCUCUUGGUUCUGGCAUCGAUGAAGAACGCAGCAAAAUGCGAUAAGUAAUGUGAAUUGCAGAAUUCAGUGAAUCAUCGAAUCUUUGAACGCACAUUGCGCCCGCCAGUAUUCUGGCGGGCAUGCCUGUUCGAGCGUCAUUUCAACCCUCAAGCACAGCUUGGUGUUGGGACUCGCGUUAAUUCGCGUUCCCCAAAUUGAUUGGCGGUCACGUCGAGCUUCCAUAGCGUAGUAGUAAAACCCUCGUUACUGGUAAUCGUCGCGGCCACGCCGUUAAACCCCAACUUCUGAAUGUUGACCUCGGAUCAGGUAGGAAUACCCGCUGAACUUAAGCAUAUCAAUAAG